CAGCGCCACGAGUGGCAAUCACGAUUAUUGGGCCUAAAGCGUCCGUAGCCGGUUCGGUAAAUCCUUUGUGAAAUCGCCAGGCUUAACCUGGCGGCGUGCAGGGGACACUGCCGAACUCGAGACCGGGAGGAGUUAGAAGUAUUUUGGGGGGAGCGGUAAAAUGCUAUAAUCCCCGAAGGACUACCUAUGGCGAAGGCAUCUAACUAGAACGGAUCUGACGGUGAGGGACGAAAGCCAGGGGAGCGAACCGGAUUAGAUACCCGAGUAGUCC
This 271-nucleotide ribosomal RNA is filed under the name uncultured archaeon. Its description in RNAcentral is "partial 16S ribosomal RNA". It matches the Rfam family "Archaeal small subunit ribosomal RNA", at positions 477 to 747 of the family's 1478-position model. The record is from RNAcentral.